CAUUUGUGAUAAUGGAUAAAGAGGUUUGUGUUUAAGACUUGAGAGUAGUGCGGGUCUCUUUCUUGCAGGUCCUGCUGACACUAACUCAUCUAGCCAUUGUGAUGGAGUAACUGGGGGCAGAACUCUUCGAGAGAAUAUUCAGUGCUGGUAGAUUUAGUGAGGAUGAGGCAAAGUUUUUCUUCCAGCAGUUGAUAUCAGGAGUUAGUUACUGUCAUAUGAUGAAUUCUUAACGUCCGGGUGAGAACGUGGGCCGGCUCAUGUUUUAGUCUCUGUCGUAUGCAAUUUUACUUGGCAUUCUUCAACUGCAGCUAUAGUUAAGCAACACUCUCAGUAUUCCAUAAUCAAACCACCAUUUGAACUUUUUUCAUCCACGAAGUUAAGCUUUUAUGUGUCACCUUGAAUGGUUAUACGUUAUUGUUUCAGAUUCCUCCAGUGCGACAUUGUUGUUCUCUUACUUACCUCUCAAGCUUGCUUAACAUACCUAAUCUUAUUACUGUUGUAUCGUUAAGGAAUUCUCAACCGCGGUUCCAGUUCAUCGUUAUGAAUCAGCGCAAUACGGGUACAAAUUCUUGACACCCAAUGUUAGUUCCUAUAUUCUCUCAUUUGGUUGAUUUAAUGACGGAAUUGGUGGACACCUACAAAAUAAGCUUGUCGAAGUUCACUGUAAGCAGAUCCUAUAUGUCUGAUUGUCUGGGAUAUUGUAACUGUAUUUUGGUGCAUAUUGGGGAAUAGAUUGCUUUUAACUAGAGCUUUUCUGAUGGUCGCUACCAGUCCUCGCCUGUAUUGGGCAAUGAUUUUUUUUUUUUUUGUUUAUCAGCUGUAGUGGCAUACUAUGUCAUGACUGUUAUAACCUCUAACCUUCACCCUUUUUUUUCUUUUUUUUUUUUUUUUUUUCCUUAUUUAGGUGAAGUUUGCAUUCCAAUACAUGCAAAAGAGUUAUCCAGAAAAAGGCAAAAUUUGACAUAUUAUCGUGAACACCAUUUAGGUAUCUGAUCUAUGAAUAUUUUUUCUAUCUGUUGUUCUGAAUCUAUGACUAAACAAGUUGGCAUCCCGUACAUAUGAUAGGUUGAAUCUGUUUUUUCAUCUAUAUAUAUAUAUAUAUAUAUAUAACACGCCUAUACUCUUUAAAACCACUAUUAGAAUUUAAUUAUGAUUUGAAUUAAUUGAUCUCUGGAGCGUUUCAAUUGAUCAUCUAGGAAGAAAUAUACGGUUCUUUUGUAGUAGCAAAGGCUUGAGAGUGGGAGUUCUUAGCCAUGCAAAUGGUUUGCUUGCUUAAUUUAUUUCAAGGCUUGAAGAAGAGUUAAAACAAAUGUUUGUCUUAUAUGUUUGUAUUUGAAUGGUAACGAUGUUGUUCUUCUGGUGCAAAAAUCUUCCCUUGAAUCCAUUUCAGCUUAGGCUCUACUUUUCUUUCAUUUCAGCUUCAUUUUCAUGUUCAUCAUGUACUGUCUGUAUAUGUUUUGUGUCGGCAUUGGAGGGUGGUGGUCUGUCAUUUUGUUUUUCUUUUGUCUAAUUGUAAGACCUUCUAACAAUUGAAUUUAUUUUAUGUGGAAACAAUCAUUGUGAUCCUGUAGUUUGAGUUAUUUCAGUUACGUAUCAAUACUUAACUACUGGAUUUUUCUUAAGGAAAUUGGAUAUAGGCUACAGUACUAUGUGUAAAAUAUCAUGGAAACACAAUUGUGUUGCAUCCAUGCCUACUGCCUGCGAUAUGAUUGACAUAGUUUAAUUAGAUUGAAACCAGACGUACUAAUCUAAUUUAACACAAAUUGAUAUCUUGGUAUGUGACUGAUCUGCAAAGUAAAAGUGAAUAAUGUCUACGUGUAGUUUGUAUGAAAUGUAUACACUUCAAUGUAUGCAUUCAUCAUCUUUAGAAAUGGGUAGCGCCAGGGAUUAAAAAAAAAAAAACCUCUCACACGCAUGUAAGCGUGCAUGGAGAGGUAAGGUUUUGAUCUCUUUCAAUUUGAUAUAUGAUUGGAUUUUGUUUGUAGUAGAUUUGAUUUACAGUAAUGCAAUUGCUUUGCUCUUUUUCACCAUGAUUGUUUUAUCAGUUAUUGUUUCUUUUCUUUUCAUUCCGUGUGGAUUUUUUUUUACUUGACUGGUCAGGAACAAGAUAAAGCUUUUAGAUUGUUUGUAUCGAGAAGGAACGAUCCAAAUAAGAAUUUAGAACUAUGUGUUCUCGUGCUUAAUGAGGUUUUAUUUUGAGUUGUAUAUAUCUUUAGUUUCAAACAAGUCUAUAUGGCUUCAUUCGUAUGCUUUU
Pyrus x bretschneideri (Chinese white pear) is the source of this 2254-nucleotide long non-coding RNA. RefSeq lists it as uncharacterized. The record is from RefSeq and is a predicted model, not a curated record. Lineage: Eukaryota; Viridiplantae; Streptophyta; Magnoliopsida; Rosales; Rosaceae. The transcript has 3 exons.